Molecule: long non-coding RNA, 184 nt
Organism: Girardinichthys multiradiatus
Lineage: Eukaryota; Metazoa; Chordata; Actinopteri; Cyprinodontiformes; Goodeidae
Exons: 3
Source: RefSeq, a predicted model, not a curated record
CUUCAACCUGCCAGGACGUUCUGACAGAAAGGUUGAGCUCUCCUUCAGAGGUUUCACUCAUAAAACCAGAGCCCUGCAGUGUGAGAAUGUUGCCAUCUUCAAUGAGCAUUUCCGUUGGCCCAAUUAUGGUAAAGAGAUCACAGAGGAACUUUUGUCUGUCAGUGUUUACAACUGCAGCAAAUUC